RNAcentral lists this transfer RNA (194 nucleotides) under Bacillus licheniformis DSM 13 = ATCC 14580. RNAcentral's name for it is "tRNA-Und (NNN) (tRNA-Und-NNN-1-1)". Lineage: Bacteria; Bacillati; Bacillota; Bacilli; Caryophanales; Bacillaceae. The record is from RNAcentral.
GCCUCCGUAGCUCUAGAAGGGAAGAGCGCCGUAAAACACUGUAGGAACGGGUCGCAAGGCAAGGGUUUCAGAAGCACCGAAAAGCAAAUAGCUGAGACAGGUGGAAUUCCUGUCGGUGAAAGUCCGUAGGGAAGCGUGUUCUCCCCUAGCCUAUGCUUACGGAAGGAGUGCGGGUUCGAAUCCCGCCGGAGGCA